CCUACGGGAGGCAGCAGUGGGGGAUAUUGCACAAUGGGGGGAACCCUGAUGCAGCGACGCCGCGUGGGUGAAGAAGCGCCUCGGCGCGUAAAGCCCUGUCAGCAGGGAAGAAAAUGACGGUACCUGCAGAAGAAGCCCCGGCUAACUACGUGCCAGCAGCCGCGGUAAUACGUAGGGGGCAAGCGUUAUCCGGAUUUACUGGGUGUAAAGGGGGCGCAGACGGCGAUGCAAGCCAGGAGUGAAAGCCCGGGGCCCAACCCCGGGACUGCUCUUGGCACUGCGUGGCUGGAGUGCAGGAGGGGCAGGCGGAAGUCCUGGUGUAGCGGGGAGAUGCGUAGAUAUCAGGAGGAACACCGGUGGCGAAGGCGGCCUGCUGGACUGCAACUGACGUUGAGGCCCGAAAGCGUGGGGAGCAAACAGGAUUAGAUACCCGGGUAGUC
This 440-nucleotide ribosomal RNA is filed under the name uncultured bacterium. RNAcentral's name for it is "partial 16S ribosomal RNA". It matches the Rfam family "Bacterial small subunit ribosomal RNA", at positions 338 to 795 of the family's 1533-position model. The record is from RNAcentral.